ACGUGGAGAAAGCUUCGCACGUCGCUCGCCACCGGUCAAGUCUGCGAGACUGCCGACCGAGUCCCCGCCACCACUGGCAGAGGCCGAACAGAGUGGAGUCCCACGCUUCUCAAGUGGUGGAGGAAGCACCGGACGGUGAAAAAUGGUAAAAUGAAAUUUAUGGAUUUUAUGGGAGUACAGUAAGAAAGAAGGGAGGUGCGGUAAGAAACAGCCCGGUGAUCACUUGUCCAAAGAGGCCCAAAGCAAAACGCAUGGGUACUCUUUGUUCACACGGUGGUGGUGGAACUGAAUGGAACAAGCAUGGCAAAAAUCACAGAACAAUCCGAAAUGGCGAAGCGGGGAACCUCUGAUUCCGAAUCCGACAACGCUUCGGUUUCAGGGUCAGAGUCCGAGGAGGGGCAUGCUAUGGACAGUGGGAAGAAGGGUGUGACGGAAUACGAGAAACAGAGGCUGUCGAGAAUCGCGGAGAACAGAGCCAGGUUGGAGGCUCUGGGCUUGCCCAAAAUGGCUCUCUCCUUGAAAAGUUCUCAUCUUCGCACCGCUAAGAAGGGAAAAGAGAAGAAGGUUGAAGAAGACGAUGAUGAAGAGUAUUUACCCGAAGACGAGGCAGGACCUGGUUCAAGUUCUUCAAGUGAACAUGAUGAAGAUCGUAAAGAUGAAGACUUUGCAACUAAAAAUUCCUCUGGGUUACGGAAAAGGAAGGUGAAGAACAAAGGUUUGAAAAAGAAAGACGGAGUCUCUGGGAAGAAGGAUGUUGGUAAUUCAGAGUACAUUGAUUAUGAUGAUGAUGAAGCUUUGAGGCAGGCAAUUGCUCUUUCCUUGCAAAACUCUGCCGAAGGUUCAUAUUUACCUGACCAGAAUGUAUUGAACCUUAACAAGACUGAGAAAAAGGGAAACAAUCAAACUCAAGAAGAAAAGGGAAGAAAGAAGAACAAAAAAUCGUUUGCAAGUCGGCUGCAACUCACGGAGGAUGAGCUCAUUGUACACUUCUUCCAGCUUGAUGGGAAGUUGUUUUGUGGCAUGCAGAAGCUGGAAAAGGAACUUUAAAUGUAAGGGAUAUACAAAGGGCAGCUACUGCUCAUGAUUUUUUAUGGACAGACAAAGAGUUAGUUGAUAUGAUCCACUUCUUCGAUAGUGAUGGAGAUGGAAAGCUAAGCCUGGAUGAUUUCCGGAAGAUUAUGGUUCGUUGCAACAUGAUCAAAGAGUGAUGAAAAUCUUGAUAGAACCGCGUGUUAGAAUUAGAGAUAUUACAUGGUGACUAGAUGCACAACCAUUGAGUCCUUGUGCUCUUUUUGGUACCUUUGAGGGAUCGGAGCAAUUUCUAUCACCAUAAGGACUGUCAAAUACAUGUUGUAGUAUUCCUUCUUGUAUCCCAUUAUCACUACUAUAUAAUUUCUGUUGUACUAUGUUGAUUUCCCCUUUUGUAUCCUUUACAACUUUCUUGAACUAAGUCUUAUUUUUGGUGUAAAAUCUACCUCAGCAGUCUCUAAGUUGAUUCCUUUUCAAUCUCCAAAGUGUUUUUCUUAUAACUAUUUUGUUUUGUUGUUUUUAUAUCUACUUUGGAGGAUGCUUGUUCCUUCAAUCUCCAUACAUGUGCCUACACAUAGCAUGUACUGGUAUUUUGUGUUUUUGUUUCUCAUUUUGUUUG
This is an RNA transcript of Vigna radiata var. radiata (mung bean), 1648 nucleotides long. RefSeq lists it as uncharacterized. Lineage: Eukaryota; Viridiplantae; Streptophyta; Magnoliopsida; Fabales; Fabaceae. The transcript is spliced from 6 exons. The record is from RefSeq and is a predicted model, not a curated record.